AUUGAACGCUGGCGGCAGGCCUAACACAUGCAAGUCGAGCGGAAACGGGUUAUCUGAACCUUCGGGGAACGAUAACGGCGUCGAGCGGCGGACGGGUGAGUAAUGCCUAGGAAAUUGCCCUGAUGUGGGGGAUAACCAUUGGAAACGAUGGCUAAUACCGCAUGAUGCCUACGGGCCAAAGAGGGGGACCUUCGGGCCUCUCGCGUCAGGAUAUGCCUAGGUGGGAUUAGCUAGUUGGUGAGGUAAGGGCUCACCAAGGCGACGAUCCCUAGCUGGUCUGAGAGGAUGAUCAGCCACACUGGAACUGAGACACGGUCCAGACUCCUACGGGAGGCAGCAGUGGGGAAUAUUGCACAAUGGGCGCAAGCCUGAUGCAGCCAUGCCGCGUGUAUGAAGAAGGCCUUCGGGUUGUAAAGUACUUUCAGUCGUGAGGAAGGCGGCGUCGUUAAUAGCGGCGUUGUUUGACGUUAGCGACAGAAGAAGCACCGGCUAACUCCGUGCCAGCAGCCGCGGUAAUACGGAGGGUGCGAGCGUUAAUCGGAAUUACUGGGCGUAAAGCGCAUGCAGGUGGUUUGUUAAGUCAGAUGUGAAAGCCCGGGGCUCAACCUCGGAAUAGCAUUUGAAACUGGCAGACUAGAGUACUGUAGAGGGGGGUAGAAUUUCAGGUGUAGCGGUGAAAUGCGUAGAGAUCUGAAGGAAUACCGGUGGCGAAGGCGGCCCCCUGGACAGAUACUGACACUCAGAUGCGAAAGCGUGGGGAGCAAACAGG
RNAcentral lists this ribosomal RNA (769 nucleotides) under uncultured Pseudoalteromonadaceae bacterium. RNAcentral describes it as "bacterial SSU rRNA". It matches the Rfam family "Bacterial small subunit ribosomal RNA", at positions 28 to 776 of the family's 1533-position model. Lineage: Bacteria; Pseudomonadati; Pseudomonadota; Gammaproteobacteria; Alteromonadales; Pseudoalteromonadaceae. The record is from RNAcentral.